Molecule: ribosomal RNA, 595 nt
Filed under: uncultured Bacteroidota bacterium
Lineage: Bacteria; Pseudomonadati; Bacteroidota
Description: bacterial SSU rRNA
Rfam family: Bacterial small subunit ribosomal RNA
Source: RNAcentral
CAACCUUCCCAUAACUCUGGGAUAGCCUUUCGAAAGAAAGAUUAAUACCGGAUGGUACUUUUUCAAGGCAUCUUGAGAAAGUUAAAGAUUUAUUGGUUAUGGAUGGGGAUGCGUUCCAUUAGAUAGUUGGUGAGGUAACGGCUCACCAAGUCUUCGAUGGAUAGGGGUUCUGAGAGGAAGGUCCCCCACAUUGGUACUGAGACACGGACCAAACUCCUACGGGAGGCAGCAGUGAGGAAUAUUGGUCAAUGGGCGAGAGCCUGAACCAGCCAAGUAGCGUGAAGGAUGAAGGUCCUAUGGAUUGUAAACUUCUUUUAUAGUAGAAUAAAGUGACCCACGUGUGGGUUUUUGUAUGUACACUAUGAAUAAGGAUCGGCUAACUCCGUGCCAGCAGCCGCGGUAAUACGGAGGAUCCGAGCGUUAUCCGGAUUUAUUGGGUUUAAAGGGUGCGUAGGCGGAAUAAUAAGUCAGUUGUGAAAGUUUGCGGCUCAACCGUAAAAUUGCAGUUGAUACUGUUAUUCUUGAGUGUACAUAAGGUAGGCGGAAUUCGUGGUGUAGCGGUGAAAUGCUUAGAUAUCACGAAGAACUCCGAUUG